This 296-nucleotide ribosomal RNA is filed under the name uncultured bacterium. RNAcentral's name for it is "partial 16S ribosomal RNA". It matches the Rfam family "Bacterial small subunit ribosomal RNA", at positions 789 to 1084 of the family's 1533-position model. The record is from RNAcentral.
GGUAGUCCACGCCGUAAACGGUGGGUACUAGGUGUGGGUUUCCUUCCUUGGGAUCCGUGCCGUAGCUAACGCAUUAAGUACCCCGCCUGGGGAGUACGGCCGCAAGGCUAAAACUCAAAGAAAUUGACGGGGGCCCGCACAAGCGGCGGAGCAUGUGGAUUAAUUCGAUGCAACGCGAAGAACCUUACCUGGGUUUGACAUGCACAGGACGUGCCUAGAGAUAGGUAUUCCCUUGUGGCCUGUGUGCAGGUGGUGCAUGGCUGUCGUCAGCUCGUGUCGUGAGAUGUUGGGUUAAG